ACGUUAGCGGCUGACGGGUGAGUAACACGUGGGUAACCUACCUAUAAGACUGGGAUAACUUCGGGAAACCGGAGCUAAUACCGGAUAAUAUUUCGAACCGCAUGGUUCGAUAGUGAAAGGUGGUUUUGCUAUCACUUAUAGAUGGACCCGCGCCGUAUUAGCUAGUUGGUAAGGUAACGGCUUACCAAGGCGACGAUACGUAGCCGACCUGAGAGGGUGAUCGGCCACACUGGAACUGAGACACGGUCCAGACUCCUACGGGAGGCAGCAGCA
This 273-nucleotide ribosomal RNA is filed under the name uncultured Staphylococcus sp. Its description in RNAcentral is "partial 16S ribosomal RNA". It matches the Rfam family "Bacterial small subunit ribosomal RNA", at positions 89 to 355 of the family's 1533-position model. Lineage: Bacteria; Bacillati; Bacillota; Bacilli; Caryophanales; Staphylococcaceae. The record is from RNAcentral.